GUACCCCGAGGAAAAGAAAUCAACCGAGAUUCCCCCAGUAGCGGCGAGCGAACGGGGAGCAGCCCAGAGCCUGAAUCAGUGUGUGUGUUAGUGGAAGCGUCUGGAAAGGCGCGCGAUACAGGGUGACAGCCCCGUACACAAAAAUGCACAUGCUGUGAGCUCGAUGAGUAGGGCGGGACACGUGGUAUCCUGUCUGAAUAUGGGGGGACCAUCCUCCAAGGCU
Molecule: ribosomal RNA, 223 nt
Filed under: Escherichia coli
Lineage: Bacteria; Pseudomonadati; Pseudomonadota; Gammaproteobacteria; Enterobacterales; Enterobacteriaceae
Description: partial 23S ribosomal RNA
Rfam family: Bacterial large subunit ribosomal RNA
Source: RNAcentral